UACGUAGGGUGCGAGCGUUGUCCGGAAUUACUGGGCGUAAAGAGCUCGUAGGCGGUUUGUCACGUCGUCUGUGAAAUCCUCCAGCUUAACUGGGGGCGUGCAGGCGAUACGGGCAGACUUGAGUACUACAGGGGAGACUGGAAUUCCUGGUGUAGCGGUGAAAUGCGCAGAUAUCAGGAGGAACACCGGUGGCGAAGGCGGGUCUCUGGGUAGUAACUGACGCUGAAGCGCGAAAGCGUGGGGAGCGAACAGGAUUAGAUACCCUGGUA
RNAcentral lists this ribosomal RNA (269 nucleotides) under uncultured prokaryote. Its description in RNAcentral is "partial 16S ribosomal RNA". It matches the Rfam family "Bacterial small subunit ribosomal RNA", at positions 524 to 792 of the family's 1533-position model. The record is from RNAcentral.